Molecule: ribosomal RNA, 930 nt
Filed under: Triticum aestivum (bread wheat)
Lineage: Eukaryota; Viridiplantae; Streptophyta; Magnoliopsida; Poales; Poaceae
Description: partial small subunit ribosomal RNA
Source: RNAcentral
AUGGUCCAGAUACUGUCCCUGAUCCACAACAGAGAUGGCAGUCUGACUAGCAUGCCCUACAUACCAGCAGAUGUCACGAACCUAAAGGCAAAGUACCGUAGAGAGAGCAGGUUGGCUGACAUAGAAGACACAAUAGCCUACUUCGAAGAGAAAGCAAAAGCAGAUAUUGAUUUCUCCUACAGGAUAAGAUUGGACGAUGAGGACCGUGUCAGAAACAUGUAUUGGGUGGAUGGUGCUACAAGAAGAGCCUACAAACAUUUCCAUGAUUGCAUUUCGUUUGACGCGACAUAUCUCAUGAAUAUGUACAAGAUGCCCUGUGCUCUAUUCAUAGGAAUAAAUAACCAUAAUAAUUCAUUGCAGUUUGGUUGCAGACUCGUUCGGAAUGAAGAUACAGAUGGUUACACUUGGCUGUCCAAAACCUUCUUGGAGUGCAUGGGUGGACUUGCUCCGAUGAACAUAAUAAUAGACCAGGAUUUUAGCAUGCGUGCAGGCAUAGAGAAGAUCUUUCCGUUGGCAGUGCACAGGCACUGUAGGUGGCAUAUUAUUAAGAAGGAUGAGGAGACACUAGGACCAUUCUUUUCUGACCGUCCAAAACUACACAAGGCAUUCGAAUUGUGCGUGGACCACAACUUGACGGUGGCGGAGUUUGAACAGAGCUGGACGGCUAUGAUUGAAACAUACCAAGUCCAAGAUAAUGAGACACUUAAUAGCCUGUGGGAGACGCGAAUGUACUGGGUGCCGGCCUACUUCAUGAAGUGCUUCUUUUCAUUUCUACAGACUACGCAACACAGCGAGGGGUUCAAUGCUAUUUUGAAGCGGUACGUGAGCCCUGGCAACUCAUUGCUGCAGUUUGCCAAGCAAUACACAUCUUUGCAACAGAAAAUACUGGGAUCUGAGCUACAACAAGAAGCAAACACCACACUCAAGUAG